AUUGAACGCUGGCGGCAGGCCUAACACAUGCAAGUCGAGCGGAUGAAGGGAGCUUGCUCCUGGAUUCAGCGGCGGACGGGUGAGUAAUGCCUAGGAAUCUGCCUGGUAGUGGGGGAUAACGUCCGGAAACGGGCGCUAAUACCGCAUACGUCCUGAGGGAGAAAGUGGGGGAUCUUCGGACCUCACGCUAUCAGAUGAGCCUAGGUCGGAUUAGCUAGUUGGUGGGGUAAAGGCCUACCAAAGCGACGAUCCGUAACUGGUCUGAGAGGAUGAUCAGUCACACUGGAACUGAGACAUGGUCCAGACUCCUACGGGAGGCAGCAGUGGGGAAUAUUGGACAAUGGGCGAAAGCCUGAUCCAGCCAUGCCGCGUGUGUGAAGAAGGUCUUCGGAUUGUAAAGCACUUUAAGUUGGGAGGAAGGGCAGUAAGUUAAUACCUUGCUGUUUUGACGUUACCAACAGAAUAAGCACCGGCUAACUUCGUG
RNAcentral lists this ribosomal RNA (484 nucleotides) under uncultured bacterium. RNAcentral describes it as "partial 16S ribosomal RNA". It matches the Rfam family "Bacterial small subunit ribosomal RNA", at positions 30 to 507 of the family's 1533-position model. The record is from RNAcentral.